UACGGAGGGGGCAAGCGUUGUCCGGAUUUAUUGGGCGUAAAGAGCGUGUAGGCGGCCAGGUAGGUCCGCUGUGAAAACUCGAGGCUCAACCUCGAGAUGUCGGCGGAAACCAUCUGGCUAGAGUCCGGAAGAGGAGAGUGGAAUUCCUGGUGUAGCGGUGAAAUGCGCAGAUAUCAGGAAGAACACCCGUGGCGAAGGCGGCUCUCUGGGACGGUACUGACGCUGAGACGCGAAAGCGUGGGGAGCGAACAGG
RNAcentral lists this ribosomal RNA (253 nucleotides) under uncultured bacterium. RNAcentral describes it as "partial 16S ribosomal RNA". It matches the Rfam family "Bacterial small subunit ribosomal RNA", at positions 524 to 776 of the family's 1533-position model. The record is from RNAcentral.